Molecule: ribosomal RNA, 854 nt
Filed under: Kerkophorus poeppigii
Lineage: Eukaryota; Metazoa; Mollusca; Gastropoda; Stylommatophora; Urocyclidae
Description: Sheldonia poeppigii partial 16S ribosomal RNA
Source: RNAcentral
AAUUGACAUGAUAAUGAAAUACUAUUUAGGUUGUUAUUUACCUUUUGCAUAAUGGUUUAAUUAUAUUUAGUAAGAUUAAAAUUCCCGAAACUUAAAGAGCUAAUUUUAUUUUUUUUUAGAUAAUUAGGAUAAUGUUACAAAAUUAUCUGUAAAAUUAAAUUUAGGAGUGAAAGACCUAUCAAUUUAAGUGAUAUCUGGAUAAGCUAAUAAUGUAUUUAGUACAGAUUUAUAAUUUAAUUAAAAAAUGUUAAGAUUUUUUAAUAAAAGUAUUUAUUACCUUAUUUAUAGUGGGGUAAUACCUCCAAAUAUAGAAAAAAAUAAUAUUAAUAAUUUAUAUCUUUAAAUUUAUGCUUAGUAACUAAUACAAUAAUUUAUUUAUAAUGUUAAAAUUAGUAUAUAUAAAAUUUAAUUUAAGGAACUCGGCAAAUGAUUAUUCAACUGUUUAUCAAAAACAUAGCCUUAUGAAAUAUAUAAGGUAAAACCUGCCCUAUGAUAUUUUAAAUGGCCGCAGUACUUUGACUGUGCUAAGGUAGCAUAAUAAAUUGACUCUUAAUUGGGGCCUUGAAUGAAAGGAUAUUUGAAUAAAGACUGUCUCAAAUUAAUAUUUAAAAUUUACUUAGAAGGUGAAAAUUCCUUCCGUAAUAAAAAAGACGAGAAGACCCUAGGAGUUUUAAAUUUUGUUGGGGCGACAUUAUAGCAUUUAACCUAUAAAGAAUUUUAUUAUAUAACGAUAAUUAUAAUACUAAUUAAACUACCCUAGGGAUAACAGCAUAAUUUUUUAAGUUUGUGACCUCGAUGUUGGACUAGGAACAUUUAAAGUUAACAGCAUUAAAUGAUUGUUCUGUUCGAACCUU